RNAcentral lists this ribosomal RNA (467 nucleotides) under uncultured bacterium. RNAcentral's name for it is "bacterial SSU rRNA". It matches the Rfam family "Bacterial small subunit ribosomal RNA", at positions 917 to 1382 of the family's 1533-position model. The record is from RNAcentral.
GGGCCCGCACAAGCGGUGGAGCAUGUGGUUCAAUUCGAAGCAACGCGAAGAACCUUACCAGCUUUUGACAUCCCGGUCGCGAGCACCAGAGAUGGAGCUCUUCAGUUCGGCUGGACCGGAGACAGGUGCUGCAUGGCUGUCGUCAGCUCGUGUCGUGAGAUGUUGGGUUAAGUCCCGCAACGAGCGCAACCCUCGCCCUUAGUUGCCAUCAUUUAGUUGGGCACUCUAAGGGGACUGCCGGUGAUAAGCCGGAGGAAGGUGGGGAUGACGUCAAGUCCUCAUGGCCCUUACAGGCUGGGCUACACACGUGCUACAAUGGCGGUGACAGAGGGAUGCAAAGGAGCAAUCCUUAGCAAAUCUCAAAAAGCCGUCUCAGUUCGGAUUGUGCUCUGCAACUCGAGCACAUGAAGUUGGAAUCGCUAGUAAUCGCAGAUCAGCACGCUGCGGUGAAUACGUUCCCGGGCCUU